RNAcentral lists this ribosomal RNA (583 nucleotides) under uncultured bacterium. RNAcentral describes it as "partial 16S ribosomal RNA". It matches the Rfam family "Bacterial small subunit ribosomal RNA", at positions 355 to 936 of the family's 1533-position model. The record is from RNAcentral.
UGGGGAAUUUUGGACAAUGGGCGCAAGCCUGAUCCAGCCAUGCCGCGUGCGGGAAGAAGGCCUUCGGGUUGUAAACCGCUUUUGUCAGGGAAGAAAUCUUCUGAGUUAAUACCUCGGGAGGAUGACGGUACCUGAAGAAUAAGCACCGGCUAACUACGUGCCAGCAGCCGCGGUAAUACGUAGGGUGCAAGCGUUAAUCGGAAUUACUGGGCGUAAAGCGUGCGCAGGCGGUUUUGUAAGACAGAGGUGAAAUCCCCGGGCUCAACCUGAGAACUGCCUUUGUGACUGCAAGGCUUGAGUGCGGCAGAGGGGGAUGGAAUUCCGCGUGUAGCAGUGAAAUGCGUAGAUAUGCGGAGGAACACCGAUGGCGAAGGCAAUCCCCUGGGCCUGCACUGACGCUCAUGCACGAAAGCGUGGGGAGCAAACAGGAUUAGAUACCCUGGUAGUCCACGCCCUAAACGAUGUCAACUGGUUGUUGGGAAGGUUCCUUCUCAGUAACGUAGCUAACGCGUGAAGUUGACCGCCUGGGGAGUACGGCCGCAAGGUUGAAACUCAAAUGAAUUGACGGGGUCAUAGCUGUUUU